Myotis lucifugus (little brown bat) is the source of this 291-nucleotide unclassified non-coding RNA. Its record names the gene 7SK. It matches the Rfam family "7SK RNA". Rfam says of the family: 7SK was discovered as an abundant small nuclear RNA in the mid-70s but a possible function has only recently been suggested. Two independent studies have found that 7SK RNA binds the CDK9/cyclin T complex (known as elongation factor P-TEFb). Lineage: Eukaryota; Metazoa; Chordata; Mammalia; Chiroptera; Vespertilionidae. The record is from Ensembl.
AGUUGUGAGGGCGACCUGGAUGCAACAUCUGUCACCCCACUGAUGGCCAGGUUGAACUGGCUGGCGAGGCGGGGUCCCCUUCCUCCCUCACUGCUCCAUGUGCGUCCCUCCCGAGGCUGUGCACUUGGCCGAGGAGGACGACCUUCCCUGAUAGAGGAGGGACCAUUCUUUCGUCCAGGGUAGACGCUAGCUGUGCUCCCCAGCCAGAACCUCCAAACCAGCUCUCCAGGUCCAUUUCCCAGACCAGACACAUCCAAAGGAGGCGCUGUGUGUGACAAUCUGCCUUUCUUU